This 504-nucleotide ribosomal RNA is filed under the name uncultured bacterium. RNAcentral's name for it is "bacterial SSU rRNA". It matches the Rfam family "Bacterial small subunit ribosomal RNA", at positions 28 to 523 of the family's 1533-position model. The record is from RNAcentral.
GAUGAACGCUAGCGGCAGGCUUAAUACAUGCAAGUCGAGGGGCAGCACGGUUAGCAAUAACUGGUGGCGACCGGCGCACGGGUGCGUAACACGUAUACAAUCUACCUUAAACAGGGGGAUAGCCUUUCGAAAAGAGAGAUUAAUACCCCGUAAUAAAUUGAACGGCAUCGUUUGAUUUUGAAAGCUCCGGCGGUUUGAGAUGAGUAUGCGUCUGAUUAGCUAGUUGGUGAGGUAACGGCUCACCAAGGCGACGAUCAGUAGGGGAUCUGAGAGGACUAACCCCCACACUGGGUACUGAGACACGGACCAGACUCCUACGGGAGGCAGCAGUAAGGAAUAUUGGGUCAAAUGGAGGCAACUCUGAACCAGCCAUGCCGCGUGCAGGAUGACGGCCCUAUGGGUUGUAAACUGCUUUUAUACAAGAGAAAACCCUGGUACGUGUACCAGGUUGAUAGUAUUGUAAGAAUAAGCAUCGGCUAAACUUCGUGCCAGCAACCGCGGUAA